CGCGAAUGGCUCAUUACAACAGCUAUAAUUUACUUGACCUUGACAACCUACUUGGAUAACUGUGGUAAUUCUAGAGCUAAUACAUGCAUUAAAGCUCUGACCUUAGGGGAAGAGUGCAUUUAUUAGAACAAAACCAAGCGGCUUCGGCUGUUUUCGGUUGACUCAUAGUAACUGAGCUGAUCGCAUGGUCUUGCACCGGCGACGUGUCUUUCAAGUAUCUGCCGUAUCAACUUUCGAUGGUAGUGUAUCUGACUACCAUGGUGAUCACGCGUAACGGAGAAUAAGGGUUCGACUCCGGAGAGUUCGCCUGAGAAAUCGCGAACACAUCUAAGGAAGGCAGCAGGCGCGAAAAUUACCCACUCUCAGCACGAGGAGGUAGUGACGAAAAAUAACGAGACCGUUCUCUUAUGAGGCCGGUCAUCGGAAUGGGUACAAUUUAAACCCUUUAACGAGGAUCUAUUGGGGGGCAAGUCUGGUGCCAGCAGCCGCGGUAAUUCCAGCU
RNAcentral lists this ribosomal RNA (502 nucleotides) under Acrobeloides maximus. RNAcentral describes it as "SSU rRNA". It matches the Rfam family "Eukaryotic small subunit ribosomal RNA", at positions 88 to 590 of the family's 1831-position model. Lineage: Eukaryota; Metazoa; Nematoda; Chromadorea; Rhabditida; Cephalobidae. The record is from RNAcentral.